GUUAUAAAUUUCAGCCUAAAUAUUAAUUUUUGCAAAUAGUCCAUCUUUACCUUAGAUUGGAUUUAGGAAAAUGCUGUUAUUCUGGAAAUACUAUAAAGGGAUAAUAAAAAUUUAGUAUGUACCCUCACCAGUUCAUGUUUCAGAAGAGGAAAUAUUGCAGAAAUUUUUCAGUAGCGUAUUAGUGGAUGACAAUGCCAAACUUGCUCUUAGAAUGUCUUGUAAAAUGUUCAUAUAACAAAAUGACAUUUGGUAGCCAGGCAUUGCAUCUACUUUGGUGUUUAUUUGCCAUCAAUUUUACUGACUACUAAUACUAGGGAAGGACU
RNAcentral lists this long non-coding RNA (323 nucleotides) under Bos taurus (domestic cattle). RNAcentral describes it as "long non-coding RNA NONBTAT000939". Lineage: Eukaryota; Metazoa; Chordata; Mammalia; Artiodactyla; Bovidae. The record is from RNAcentral.